UGAGCUGACAAUUACUGAAACCAAACACAGCUGUAGAACCGGAGCAUUUGUAAACACGGUGUGGUGUAGUGUCACAGCGAGUGUUGAGGGAAUACUUACAUUUCGAGACACGCAUAACAUGCCGACCUCCCCGGUGAAGACACGGAUACCGCUGUAAAGUUUUGGCCAUCUUGUAACCGAAGUAAAGAGACAGCUCUUUGGAAUUGAUUCGCCAACCCUGAAGGAACUGACAGGAUGGAGGAAACAUUUUAACAGCUACACCUUACAAGGACGCAGAAAUUUUGUUCUUGCCACAUAUGGCGUUCUUGCACUCACAGCUGCUGCCUUCAUGCUGAGACGCAGCAGGAAGAAGGAGCAUGAAACAGCAUCUGCCUCCUCAUGAACUGCAAAUGGAAAGUUUUGAGGGUUAAGAAUACAGUAAAUUAUUUAUGAUCGCUACAUGUGUGGACCAUGUUUAAUGAAGCUUAUGUUUCUACAUAUGCACCAGAUGUGCAUUUCUUUAUCAUGCACACUUUUUUAAUUUAAAAAUGGAUUGGUUGCGCUUUAGUUUUGUGGCCCCAUUUUGACAUCCUGUUGACUAUUUAUAUAUAUAAAUUUGGUAUCACUUUAUUUUGAUGGUCACUUUAACACAUUUUGUUGAAUUUAAGUUACAUUGCAUCUACAUUCCAACUAAUUCUCAUUAGCAUAUAAGUAAGCUGUUAGGUUGGGGUUAGUGUAAGUUGACAUGUACUUGCAAAGUUUCUUAUAGUCAGUAUCAGCAGAUAUUAAGCAGGCAGUCUACUAAUACUCAAAUGAUAAGUAAUUGGCGUGUAGUUGCAAUGCAAAUUUUAGUCAAAAAAUGUGCGAUAGGGACAUUUAUACAAUUUAAUUAGUAUGAAAACUAAUGAAUUUUUUAAAGGGGUGUGUCCUCAAACUCCACCCCUUAUCCUACACCUCAUUGAAGGAUAAGCAAAUCAUACUAAAAUGUACCAAUGAGAUUGUACAAAUUCACUGUAUUGUAACUUACCUGUAAAUGUGUUUUACAGUGGCGUUGCUCUACCGCAAUUACAUUUUACAGUAAAAUAGCCUAACUGCAACUUCUUUUUAUGGUAAAAUGCCAUUUUAAUGAUUUUUUUUGCAAUAAAAUUAGAAAUUUAAAUUUUUUUUUUAGAGUAUUUUACUGUUAUUUUUUAUUUUUUUUACUCUAGCAGUACAAACCAAGUGGCCAGUUUUGUCUUAAACUACAGUAGCAGUACUUGAUUAUUUUGAUUACAGUAGAAUACCCCAAAUUCCUAAUAUGCAGUAAGUUACUGUAAAAGUUUAAAAUGACCCACAAUGCAGUGCAUAUUACAGUGCUGAACUGUACUGAACUGAACUGGCUGUUUUUGCAGUAAAUAUCUGUAAAAUUGCGACAAAGUCUGGCCAAUAAAAGAUUCUGUUGGUAUGAAAACCUUGGAUAAAAAUA
This is a non-coding RNA of Danio rerio (zebrafish), 1444 nucleotides long. The record is from RefSeq and is a predicted model, not a curated record. Lineage: Eukaryota; Metazoa; Chordata; Actinopteri; Cypriniformes; Danionidae.